Molecule: ribosomal RNA, 497 nt
Filed under: uncultured bacterium
Lineage: Bacteria
Description: partial 16S ribosomal RNA
Rfam family: Bacterial small subunit ribosomal RNA
Source: RNAcentral
GAUGAACGCUGGCGGCGUGCCUAAUACAUGCAAGUCGAGCGAACGGACGAGAAGCUUGCUUCUCUGAUGUUAGCGGCGGACGGGUGAGUAACACGUGGAUAACCUACCUAUAAGACUGGGAUAACUUCGGGAAACCGUAGCUAAUACCGGAUAAUAUUUUGAACCGCAUGGUUCAAAAGUGAAAGACGGUCUUGCUGUCACUUAUAGAUGGAUCCGCGCUGCAUUAGCUAGUUGGUAAGGUAACGGCUUACCAAGGCAACGAUGCAUAGCCGACCUGAGAGAGUGAUCGGCCACACUGGAAGAGAGAAACGGUCGAGACACCUACGCGGGGCAGCAGUAGGGAAUCUUACGCGAUGGAGGAAAGCGUAACGGAGCAACGCCGCGGGAGGGAUGAAGGUGUUAUGAUCGGAGAACGAUGUUAGUAGGAGAGAAGAAAUGUGUUAUUAACGGUGAAGAUAUUGACGGUACCCAAACAGGAAGCCACGGCUAACUACGUG